Molecule: ribosomal RNA, 1011 nt
Filed under: Glyphoglossus yunnanensis (Yunnan squat frog)
Lineage: Eukaryota; Metazoa; Chordata; Amphibia; Anura; Microhylidae
Description: partial large subunit ribosomal RNA
Rfam family: Bacterial large subunit ribosomal RNA
Source: RNAcentral
CAGGAAAAGAAUUUAAGUCCUACCUUAAGUUUCUUCGUAAUUCUAAUUACUUCACAAAACUUAAGAGCUAUUCAAAUAAGGUACAGCCUAUUUGAAACAGGAUACAACCUACAACAUUGGGUAAUGACUUCUGCUUCAUAAUUAAGUGGGCCUAAGAGCAGCCACCUUUAAAAAAGCGUUAAAGCUUUAUUAUACUAGCACAAUAAUUAUAUUAAUCCCCCAAAACCCUUAUCCCAUACUGAGUGACUUCAUAAUAUUAUGAAAAACCAUAUGCUAGAACUAGUAACAAGAAGAAGACCUUCUCCAAAAUGUACGUAUAGACCAAAAUGAACAACUCAUUGGCAUUUACCGCUUAUGAACUAACAGUAGUAACUCAACAAGAAAACUCUACUAUCCAUAACGUUAACCUUACACUAGCACAUUCCCGGAAAGAUUAAAAGGAAGGGAAGGAACUCGGCAAAUAAUAACCUCGCCUGUUUACCAAAAACAUCGCCUCCUGAAUAAUUAUAGGAGGUCCAGCCUGCCCAGUGACAAAGUUAAACGGCCGCGGUACCCUAACCGUGCAAAGGUAGCGCAAUCACUUGUUCUUUAAAUGAGGACUAGUAUGAAUGGCAUCACGAGGGUUAUACUGUCUCCCCCACCUAAUCAGUGAAACUGAUCUUCCCGUGAAGAAGCGGGAAUAGAAUUAUAAGACGAGAAGACCCCAUGGAGCUUUAAACUCAACAUCAACUGCCCUCUAAAUAACUUAUUAACCACGCAGAUCUGACAGUUAGUUUUCGGUUGGGGUGACCGCGGAGUAAAACAAAACCUCCACGAUGAAAGGAAUUAACCUCCUAAUCUAAGAGCUACAGCUCUAAGAAUCAACAAAUUGACAAAACUUGAUCCAAAUACUUUGAUCAACGAACCAAGUUACCCUGGGGAUAACAGCGCAAUCCAUUUCAAGAGCUCAUAUCGACAAAUGGGUUUACGACCUCGAUGUUGGAUCAGGGUAUCCCAGUGGCGCAGCCGCUA